Molecule: long non-coding RNA, 1256 nt
Organism: Homo sapiens (human)
Lineage: Eukaryota; Metazoa; Chordata; Mammalia; Primates; Hominidae
Product: long intergenic non-protein coding RNA 1192
Source: Ensembl
GGGAGUGGGAAAGAGGUGGCAUCGGCGGUUCAAGACUGAGUUUUCUAUCUCUUCAGUGCCUCUUUCAACAAUGAAGAUCAAACCAGGUUUUGUGCAAAUAUCUGCUGAGUGAACUACUUAUUUGAAAAUACAUCAUUGGUUAAUAUUCCCUUUUGCUCAUUGAAAUCUCAAAGACUACAGACCCCGCACAAGACAUUCUGACAUUCCCGUCUUUGAAAUGAAUGACAGCAAUGAUAAAUAUGGCUCACCUCCAGAGAUACAGAUCUCACAACUUCAUAUUUUUAAUAUAAAUUAUUAAUCUGAGAAGCAGAGAGAGAUAAGACCCAUGAUAAUCAAGCCAUAAACAGAUGCAUUUACUAGCUGAAUGGCCAACAAUGGAAUUCAACAAAUCCAUCUUGAGCACGGCAGCCAGGAGUGUGGUGCAAUUCCAUUAGAUGAAAGAGAUCUACACAUUCAGAAGCACAUGAUUCUUCCCCCUUCCAUGAUUCCAGUGGCCAAUAGACAAACUACAAUAAAGCCAUGCCCUGACUGGAUGUGCCUAACAUUUGUCUGGUGCUUAAAGGAGUUGGCUGCAUGCGUGGGAUGGAGAAGGAUUCAACAUUUAAUGGCAGUUAGAAUCAAAUUUUUAACUCAAGAAGGCAGAAGGAAUCCACCUAAAUAAAUGUUGGAAAGUCACCAAAAAUAGUUCUCCAAGUCAGAAGCGGUGCAAAAGCUGCCUCAGCUCUUGGUGGAUUUUCAAUUUCUCCCAGCCAUCUCUGUUUCGCUAAAGGUUUCUGAAGACAGUGGAAUGCUGUUGAAGACACCACCUUGAUAAAACAAAAACAUCAGCCAAAUUAAAUUUAAAGGAGUUUAAUUGAGCAAAGAAUUAUUCAUGAAUCAAGCAGUCUUCCAAGCCAGAGUAGGCUCAAAUACUCCAGCACAGCCACGUGGUGGAAGAUUUAUGGACAAAAGAAGAAAAGUAACAUAUAGAAAAUGGAAAUGAGGGGAAGCUUUUUUCUCCUCCCCAUCCUGAUCACUAGUAUGAGAAGGGGUGCUAAUGGACCAGCCUUGGCCUUGCAGAUGAAGAUGAUGAAGGAAGAAGGUAAAAGGAAACUGUGUACCUGUGUGACCUCUGGUAGUUCAGGUGCCCUAUCCUGCGGGCCACCUGUUAGCUUAAACUUUUGUAUAAUUGAGAAAAUGAGGGUUUUCUCUUAAUUAAGGCACUGUUGUUUGUUGUUUACUAAGGCAACCAAAUAAAUCACCUAGCUAAUAAAGAA